GAUCAUGGCUCAGGAUGAACGCUAGCUACAGGCUUAACACAUGCAAGUCGAGGGGCAGCAUGGUCUUAGCUUGCUAAGGCUGAUGGCGACCGGAGCACGGGUGAGUAACACGUAUCCAACCUGCCGUCUACUCUUGGCCAGCCUUCUGAAAGGAAGAUUAAUCCAGGAUAGCAUCAUGAGUUCACAUGUCCGCAUGAUUAAAGGUAUUUUCCGGUAGACGA
RNAcentral lists this ribosomal RNA (221 nucleotides) under uncultured bacterium. RNAcentral's name for it is "partial 16S ribosomal RNA". It matches the Rfam family "Bacterial small subunit ribosomal RNA", at positions 15 to 225 of the family's 1533-position model. The record is from RNAcentral.